This 50-nucleotide transfer RNA is filed under the name Isothecium alopecuroides. RNAcentral describes it as "partial tRNA-Leu". Lineage: Eukaryota; Viridiplantae; Streptophyta; Bryopsida; Hypnales; Lembophyllaceae. The record is from RNAcentral. RNAcentral also lists the same sequence under 1 other name.
AAAAUCCGYUGGCUUUAUUGACCGMGAGGGUUCAAGUCCCUCUACCCCCA